CCUACGGGGGGCAGCAGUGAGGAAUAUUGGUCAAUGGACGGAAGUCUGAACCAGCCAUGCCGCGUGCAGGAAGACGGCUCUAUGAGUUGUAAACUGCUUUUGUACAAGGGUAAACCUGAAUACGUGUAUUCAGCUGAAAGUACUGUACGAAUAAGGAUCGGCUAACUCCGUGCCAGCAGCCGCGGUAAUACGGGGGAGCCAGCCGUUAUCCGGAUUUAUUGGGUUUAAGGGGUGCGUAGGCGGAUUGAGCAUGUAGAGGUGAAAUGUCCGAGCUUAACUCGGGAACUGCCUGUAGUACUGGUGAUCUAGAGAGUAGAUGCGGUAGGCGGAAUGUAUGGUGUAGCGGUGAAAUGCUUAGAGAUCAUACAGAACACCGAUUGCGAAGGCAGCUUACCAAUCUAUAUCUGACGUUGAGGCACGAAAGCGUGGGGAGCAAACAGGAUUAGAUACCCUAGUAGUC
This 460-nucleotide ribosomal RNA is filed under the name uncultured bacterium. RNAcentral describes it as "partial 16S ribosomal RNA". It matches the Rfam family "Bacterial small subunit ribosomal RNA", at positions 338 to 795 of the family's 1533-position model. The record is from RNAcentral.